Molecule: ribosomal RNA, 464 nt
Filed under: uncultured bacterium
Lineage: Bacteria
Description: partial 16S ribosomal RNA
Rfam family: Bacterial small subunit ribosomal RNA
Source: RNAcentral
GACGAACGCUGGCGGCGUGCUUAACACAUGCAAGUCGAACGGAAAGGCCCCUUUGGGGGUACUCGAGUGGCGAACGGGUGAGUAACACGGGAGUAACCUGCCCUUUACUUCGGGAUAACUUCAGGAAACUGGGGCUAAUACCGGAUAGGAAUCCUUGCUGCAUGGUGGGGGUUGGAAAGCUUCGGCGGUUUUGGAUGGACUCGCGGCUUAUCAGCUUGUUGGUGGGGUAGUGGCUUACCAAGGCUUUGACGGGUAGCCGGCCUGAGAGGGCGACCGGCCACCUUGGGCCUGAGAUACGGCCCAGACUCCUACGGGAGGCAGCAGUGGGGAAUAUUGCACAAUGGGCGGAAGCCUGAUGCAGCAACGCCGCGUGCGGGAUGACGGCCUUCGGGUUGUAAACAGCUUUCAGCAGGGGCGAAGCUUUUGUGACGGUACCUGCAGAAGAAGCACCGGCUAACUACGUG